RNAcentral lists this ribosomal RNA (169 nucleotides) under uncultured bacterium. RNAcentral's name for it is "partial 16S ribosomal RNA". It matches the Rfam family "Bacterial small subunit ribosomal RNA", at positions 338 to 524 of the family's 1533-position model. The record is from RNAcentral.
UUUACGGGAGGCAGCAGUGAGGAAUAUUGGACAAUGGAGGAGACUCUGAUGCAGCGAUGCCGCGUGAGUGAAGAAGGCCUUUGGGUUGUAAAGCUCUUUCGUCGGGGAAGAAAAUGACUGUACCCGAAUAAGAAGGUCCGGCUAACUUCGUGCCAGCAGCCGCGGUAAU